GAGUUUGAUCAUGGCUCAGAACGAACGCUGGCGGCAUGCCUAACACAUGCAAGUCGAACGAUCCUUUCGGGGAUAGUGGCGCACGGGUGCGUAACGCGUGGGAAUCUGCCCUUGGGUUCGGAAUAACAGUUAGAAAUGACUGCUAAUACCGGAUGACGUCUUCGGACCAAAGAUUUAUCGCCCAAGGAUGAGCCCGCGUAAGAUUAGGUAGUUGGUGGGGUAAAGGCCUACCAAGCCGACGAUCUUUAGCUGGUCUGAGAGGAUGAUCAGCCACACUGGGACUGAGACACGGCCCAGACUCCUACGGGAGGCAGCAGUGGGGAAUAUUGGACAAUGGGCGAAAGCCUGAUCCAGCAAUGCCGCGUGAGUGAUGAAGGCCUCAGGGUCGUAAAGCUCUUUUACCCGGGAUGAUAAUGACAGUACCGGGAGAAUAAGCCCCGGCUAACUCCGUGCCAGCAGCCGCGG
Molecule: ribosomal RNA, 465 nt
Filed under: uncultured eubacterium WR8138
Lineage: Bacteria
Description: bacterial SSU rRNA
Rfam family: Bacterial small subunit ribosomal RNA
Source: RNAcentral